This is a non-coding RNA of Chlorocebus sabaeus (green monkey), 1025 nucleotides long. NCBI's taxonomy places the organism in Eukaryota, Metazoa, Chordata, Mammalia, Primates, Cercopithecidae. The record is from RefSeq and is a predicted model, not a curated record.
UUUGGAGGAUGGAGGGGGAGGGGACCCGCGGGGGCCAGGACUCAGCUGGGAGGCUGAAGGCGUGGGGUGGCCAAUUGCUUGGUCACACACAAAACCUUCCUGCAACGUCCCUCUUCCAGGGGACCAGCUGUGCUGGAGUCAGUGAUGCUGAGAGAUUAUUACGUGCUACCCCAAUGGAAUCGGCGAUGGGGCACACCAUGGAUUUUACUCUGAAGAACACCUGCACACCAGAGGAUGCCAAUGGGACAAUGAAGUUUCAUUCUUUUUAUUGGUGGGUGUUACCUGCUUUACCUCAGAAAGAAUUUAUUAACCUAGUUAACUCUGCAGCCCCAACGUUUGUGGUCCAGGUUUUUGCAAUUGAGGUCCCUGAGGUAUAUUUGUGGUAUACCUAGCAUGGUACCUGAAAUUGUGCGAAUUAACCCAAGUCAGGUUCAGGAUUAGGUUAAUUUGCACAGGAGAGAGGCUGAACAGCUACCCUCUCUGGUGGUGGCAUCUGAGCUCCAGACUCUGUUUCUACCUUUGUUUGCAAAAUAAACUUUAAAACUACAAACAUCAGGCCUGAUUACUCUUUCAGAAAGCCUUCAGUGCUUCUGGUGUGUUAGUGCCCCUAUUUUGUCUUUUUCCGUCCUGUAGUAGAUAUUUUCUCAGUUUUUGGGGGGUAAUCAAUGGCAUUUUUAGGCCUGAGGUAGUAUAGGCAGGUACUUAGUUUGCCAGUAUGAUCCCAACUGUCUUUACCAUAAAUUAUAGCAGUGAUAUCAAAAUAUCCUGAAAUAAUUUGUCCACCUACACAAUCCCAGCUAGAAUUCUGACCUAAUUACAAUUCUAGUUCUAUCUGCAGUAGGCAAUAAUAUCAGGUUGAUUGUUACAAUGUAAGUUUAACAUCUAAUUAGCUGGUGAAACUGGGAGCAUAUCUGCAACGGUGGUUUUGGCUCCUGCCUGGAUCCCUUGUCUGGUGCGCUGGAGCUUUAAAGUGAAUAGAGAUUUCUGUUGAUAUUUAAUUAAACCAUGCAAACAUUUUGGUCAUA